AUACGGAGGGGGCUAGCGUUGUUCGGAAUUACUGGGCGUAAAGCGCGCGUAGGCGGAUUGAUCAGUCAGGGGUGAAAUCCCGAGGCUUAACCUCGGAACUGCCUUUGAUACUGUCAAUCUUGAGUUCGAGAGAGGUGAGUGGAAUUCCUAGUGUAGAGGUGAAAUUCGUAGAUAUUAGGAAGAACACCAGUGGCGAAGGCGGCUCACUGGCUCGAUACUGACGCUGAGGUGCGAAAGCGUGGGGAGCAAACAGGAUUAGAAACCCCGGUAGUCC
Molecule: ribosomal RNA, 274 nt
Filed under: uncultured bacterium
Lineage: Bacteria
Description: partial 16S ribosomal RNA
Rfam family: Bacterial small subunit ribosomal RNA
Source: RNAcentral